GACGAACGCUGGCGGCGCGCCUAACACAUGCAAGUCGAACGGAGUCAAGAGGAGCUUGCCUUUCUUGACUUAGUGGCGAACGGGUGAGUAACGCGUGAGUAACCUGCCCUGGAGUGGGGGACAACAGUUGGAAACGACUGCUAAUACCGCAUAAGCCCACGGAUCCGCAUGGAUCUGCGGGAAAAGGAUUUAUUCGCUUCAGGAUGGACUCGCGUCCAAUUAGCUAGUUGGUGAGGUAACGGCACACCAAGGCGACGAUUGGUAGCCGGACUGAGAGGUUGAACGGCCGCAUUGGGACUGAGACACGGCCCAGACUCCUACGGGAGGCAGCAGUGGGGGAUAUUGCACGAUGGGGGAAAACCUGAUGAAGCGGCGCGGCGUGGAGGAAGAAGGUUUUCGGAUUGUAAACUCCUGUCGUAAGGGACGAUAAUGACGGUACCUAACAAGAAAGCACCGGCUAACUACGUG
This 468-nucleotide ribosomal RNA is filed under the name uncultured bacterium. Its description in RNAcentral is "partial 16S ribosomal RNA". It matches the Rfam family "Bacterial small subunit ribosomal RNA", at positions 28 to 507 of the family's 1533-position model. The record is from RNAcentral.